GAUGAACGCUAGCGGGAGGCCUAAUACAUGCAAGUCGAGCGGUAGAGUGACUUCGGUUGCUUGAGAGCGGCGAACGGGUGAGUAACGCGUACACAAUCUACCUUUAAGAGGGGAAUAGCCCUGGGAAACUGGGAUUAAUGCCCCAUGGCAUCACGAGACGGCAUCGUUUUGUGAUUAAAGCUGAGGUGCUUAGAGAUGAGUGUGCGUCUGAUUAGCUAGUUGGUGCGGUAACGGCGCACCAAGGCGACGAUCAGUAGGGGGCGUGAGAGCGUGGACCCCCACACGGGUACUGAGACACGGACCCGACUCCUACGGGAGGCAGCAGUAAGGAAUAUUGGUCAAUGGAGGAAACUCUGAACCAGCCAUCCCGCGUGCAGGAAGAAUGCCCUAUGGGUUGUAAACUGCUUUUAUCUGGGAAGAAAAGUCGGGAUUUAUCCUGAUCUGACGGUACCAGAGGAAUAAGCACCGGCUAACUCCGUGCCAGCAGCCG
Molecule: ribosomal RNA, 490 nt
Filed under: uncultured bacterium
Lineage: Bacteria
Description: bacterial SSU rRNA
Rfam family: Bacterial small subunit ribosomal RNA
Source: RNAcentral